Molecule: transfer RNA, 63 nt
Filed under: Chthonerpeton indistinctum
Lineage: Eukaryota; Metazoa; Chordata; Amphibia; Gymnophiona; Typhlonectidae
Description: tRNA-Val
Source: RNAcentral
CAAAAUGUAGUUUAACAAAAACAUUUCACUUACACCGAAAAAACGUCCACGAAACCAUUUUGA